GCCUGGCACAGUGGUUGGAGCACUGGACUGCAACUCUGGAGACCAGGGUUGGAAUCCCGGCUCGGCC
Phrynosoma platyrhinos (Desert horned lizard) is the source of this 67-nucleotide non-coding RNA. The record is from the annotation of a GenBank genome assembly. Lineage: Eukaryota; Metazoa; Chordata; Lepidosauria; Squamata; Phrynosomatidae.